UCCAGACUCCUACGGGAGGCAGCAGUGGGGGAUAUUGCACAAUGGGGGAAACCCUGAUGCAGCGACGCCGCGUGGGCGAAGAAGUAUUUCGGUAUGUAAAGCCCUCUCAGCAGGGAAGAAGAAAUGACGGUACCUGAGUAAGAAGCACCGGCUAAAUACGUGCCAGCAGCCGCGGUAAUACGUAGGGGGCAAGCGUUAUCCGGAUUUACUGGGUGUAAAGGGGGCGCAGACGGCGAUGCAAGCCAGGAGUGAAAGCCCGGGGCCCAACCCCGGGACUGCUCUUGGAACUGCGUGGCUGGAGUGCAGGAGGGGCAGGCGGAAUUCCUGGUGUAGCGGUGAAAUGCGUAGAUAUCAGGAGGGACACCAGUGGUGAAGGCGGCUUGCUGGGCUUUUACUGACGCUGAGGCUCGAAAGUGUGGGGAGCAAACAGGAUUAGAUACCCUUGUAC
RNAcentral lists this ribosomal RNA (448 nucleotides) under uncultured bacterium. RNAcentral describes it as "bacterial SSU rRNA". It matches the Rfam family "Bacterial small subunit ribosomal RNA", at positions 330 to 793 of the family's 1533-position model. The record is from RNAcentral.